Long non-coding RNA from Spinacia oleracea (spinach), 2789 nucleotides. RefSeq lists it as uncharacterized. NCBI's taxonomy places the organism in Eukaryota, Viridiplantae, Streptophyta, Magnoliopsida, Caryophyllales, Amaranthaceae. The record is from RefSeq and is a predicted model, not a curated record. The transcript is spliced from 5 exons.
AAAAUUAAAUCAAAACCUCCCUUUUUAACCGGUUAUUUCCCAAUUAAAAAAAUUUAAAGAAAGAAAUAAUUCACUGAUUUCAAUUAAUUUAAACUUUUCUCUAAAUCUUUCUUCUUAACCACGAAAACCCUAACUAUUUUCCCAUAACUUCCCUUUACAAUCUUCAUCAACCAACCUCUAUCCUCUGCCAAUUAACCAUCGUCGAGCUCUCACCAUCUUCAAUUUUCCACCAUGAAUCCGCAAAGCGCUCUUGUCAUUGAACUCGUGGGAGCAGUAUUGUGUAAUUUCAGCUCGAGAUAUGGUUUUUGGAUAUCAGGGAAAAGUUCUAAUAGCUUGGGAUGUCAGGGAUAAGUUCCAAUUGUUUGGGAUAUCAGGUAUAUGUUCUAUUGUUUCGGGGCUUCAAUGAUUCAUGAUUCCAAUGAAGAUAUAUUCAUAUGUUAUCUUUUGGUUCUGAAGUAAGAUGUGGUAGAUACACAUGGUUUUGGAUCAAUAGUAAUUGGUUUUUGGACUUUCUACUAUAUUUUAUGUUAUCGGAUACAGAGGUAAAGAGAUGCGGUGUUUUGUCUUGUGUAUGUUAAUGAGAGUGGUGGUACUAAGAUUUGUCCCUUUUGAAAGAGGGAAGAAUUGCUAUCUGUCUCCCAUAUUUACACAUCUUUUACUCCUAGAUUAUGCCAUCAGUUAGAGUUUUUAAUGGCAUUUGGUUUUGGCACAGAGUAUCAUUCUUCAAGUAUUAUGUUGGUCUAAUGGUUUUUCUGUAAUCAGGGGCUGUAUUGUUCUUUUUGUUACAUUUAUGUUGUAGUGACAGGGGCUUCUGCUAAUACACAAUACUAUUUACACGUACACAAUAGGGAGACAUAGGUCUGGUGUAUGAGGGAGUUUCCGAUUUUCUUUUUCUCUGAUGAUCUAAUAUGAAUCACCUGAUAUAGAUUUAUGAACAUGCCUCAGGUCGUGUAUAGGUUUAUGAUAAAGGUUGUUAUGUGAUGUUUUGUAUUGCACUGCUCUUAGAUUUUUAGUUUGAUAUCUUCUAUGAGUUUUAGGAUGUGAUCGAUUUUUCCCUCAUGAUCUCUUCGUCAAUGUUCGGAGUGAUCUCGGUUCGUCUUCGUUUGCCUUGUUGCUGUUUUGCCUUGUUGUUGAUCCAAGGAUUUUAGUUUGUUGCUACUACAAUUACAGUUGCUUAUACUCUUAGUGUAGAAUAUAAAUGUAUAGUACUUUAUUGCUGUUGCACGUAAUGAACAAGAUGAGUCAAGCACUACAGUUUGAGCUUAGCUUGUUCACUUGCCGAGCUUGAGAUUCUUGUUUGUGUUUUAUUUUCUUAACGAGUGACUCUUGACCUAGCUUGUUUUCUGGGGAUGGUUCGAAGAUUUUCCUGCUCCAAAUGACAUAUAGAUUUUAGGAAGAGAGGGUAGAUUCUGAAAGAGAAUACUUGGUUCUUUGCAAUAUGUUUAUAGGUGUGUAUUGUCUUUUAAUUUUAGAUGUGCAUCAUUUGGUUUUAUGAAGGUUUUUUGAAGUUGGUUGAUAAGAUAGGCUUAGUUUGAAGUUGUUUGAAAAGAUGGUGCAUUAUCUUUCCCCUUACCAAAGCUGCCUAAUUUAUCAAAUAUCCUAUCAAAAUAUAAAUUUAGAAACUAAGCUAUCUUUCCCCAUGCCAAAGCUAGCUAAUUUAUUCUCUGGGGCUAAGCUGUAUAUUUGAAGGAAUUAAUUUUGGUGCUACGUUUCGCAGUUGGAGGAUAAAUUCCUCACAUGCUUUCAAAAUUUCUAAUUGACUUUCCUCACAGAGGUUUCUUACAGGUCAACUUUUGCAAAAACAUCACCAACACAAAACCAGUGAUCAAUGGAGCAACUCACUUGAACAAUCCUUGUAGCAGACUGAGUUCUAUAACCAACAGAACACCAACCACAUAACUGACUGCAACAUAAAACAAGCACUAAACAAGAAGAAUACUUUUGUGCUUGGCAUGCAAAGAAGUUUCUAUAAGGACGUGAAAUAAAAUGGUAAAGCAUGCUAAUGAAUGCUAUCUGGACUAUACAUACUAUAGUUACUGUAAUGAAGUGGAGAGUGCUCAGCUCCUUGUUCUACUGUGUCUACAAAAUCGUAGCUGUGAAGUUUAAAUGUCAAGAUUAUUAGCCUGCCGAUGCUGUUGAUGUUUGCCAAAAGGCUCUGGUGGAGAAGUUGAAGCAGUUUGUAUUCUUGAUUGUGAAUAGGCCAGCUGGUUCCAGUUAACAAUCCGUAAGCUAUAUCUACUUCAAUGCAACCAACCUUUAAACAACAUGUCCACUAUUCUAGUCUGAAGCUGGAAUUACAGCAUGACGCUCUUUCGAUUAUAGAUCAAGGGAUCAUAUGAAUAUUGCAAGAACUCCUAUUGGUUAAAGGAACUGCUAUUCUAGGAAAUCUGGCAGUCCAUGCUUCUCGAUUGACAAAAAGGCUCUGGUAUAACUGUCUUCAGAAAGUGAUGGAGAUAUGAAUGCAUUUCUUCAUGUUAAUCUUGUUCUGAUGCAACUUUGUAGACGAUUCUUCAUGAAAUAUCUCGUAAAUCUUAGACAAUGCAGAUGCAGCAUCUCGACUUGACAGUAUCAGUCUCCUUAGAUUGUUUCCAAGAUUUCUCAGACUGCUUUGGAGGAGAUAAUAGGGAAGAACUGUGAAAAACCAUCGCCAUUUCUCAUAGUAAUAGUUUUUUUUGUUAUUGUUUUUUAAUUCACAACUCUUCAUGGUUGAUUUAUUUACAUGUCUUCUUGGUUGUUAACAUUUGUAUAAUAUUUUUUCGAAUUAAUGAAAGAUUUGGAUUGUGUUGGUA